AGGAUGGGCGAGCUGAUGCAGCGACGCCGCGUGAGGGAUGACGGCCUUCGGGUUGUAAACCUCUUUCAGUAGGGAAGAAGCGAAAGUGACGGUACCUGCAGAAGAAGCGCCGGCUAACUACGUGCCAGCAGCCGCGGUAAUACGUAGGGCGCAAGCGUUAUCCGGAAUUAUUGGGCGUAAAGAGCUCGUAGGCGGUUUGUCGCGUCUGCUGUGAAAGACCGGGGCUCAACUCCGGUUCUGCAGUGGGUACGGGCAGACUAGAGUGCAGUAGGGGAGACUGGAAUUCCUGGUGUAGCGGUGAAAUGCGCAGAUAUCAGGAGGAACACCGAUGGCGAAGGCAGGUCUCUGGGCUGUAACUGACGCUGAGGAGCGAAAGCAUGGGGAGCGAACAGGAUUAGAUACCCUGGUAGUCCAUGCCGUAAACGUUGGGCACUAGGUGUGGGGGACAUUCCACGUUUUCCGCGCCGUAGCUAACGCAUUAAGUGCCCCGCCUGGGGAGUACGGCCGCAAGGCUAAAACUCAAAGGAAUUGACGGG
Molecule: ribosomal RNA, 536 nt
Filed under: Paenarthrobacter aurescens
Lineage: Bacteria; Bacillati; Actinomycetota; Actinomycetes; Micrococcales; Micrococcaceae
Description: bacterial SSU rRNA
Rfam family: Bacterial small subunit ribosomal RNA
Source: RNAcentral